RNAcentral lists this small RNA (576 nucleotides) under Pan troglodytes (chimpanzee). RNAcentral describes it as "retained intron". Lineage: Eukaryota; Metazoa; Chordata; Mammalia; Primates; Hominidae. The record is from RNAcentral.
GUUUUUUAAGACACUAGCUCUCCAGCAGAAAGCUGGGGAUAGACUUCAGUUUCUCUACAAUAAUUGGAGUUGGUGUUGGAGCUGGAGCCUACAUCCUGGCGAGAUAUGCUCUUAACCACCCGGACACUGUUGAAGGUCUUGUCCUCAUCAACAUUGAUCCCAAUGCCAAGGGUUGGAUGGAUUGGGCAGCCCACAAGGUUUGGAGGGGCCUGUGUGCUGAGACCUAGGGUUGGGGAUCCCCUCGUAUGGAUCCAGUUAGGCUCUGGUAGAUAGCCUAACUGGAUGGACUCUGAACUUCAAGGUGGGAAUAAAGGGGCAGGAAAGUGAAGCUGUCACUUUGCCUGAGUCUCUUAUAAUAUCCUGAACUUUCUUUUUUUCUUUUUUCUUUUUUUUUUUUUUUUGAGAUGGUGUCUCACUCUGUUGCCAAGGCUGGAGUGCAGUGGCUUGAUCUUGGCUCACUGCAACCUCUGCCUCCCGGGUUCAAGUGAUUCUCCUGCCUCAGCCUCCCAAGUAGCUGGGAUUACAGGCACCCGCCACCACGCCUGGCUAAUAUUUGUAUUAUUAGUAGAGAUGGGG